RNAcentral lists this long non-coding RNA (286 nucleotides) under Carica papaya (papaya). Its description in RNAcentral is "long non-coding RNA (CPAP_LNC001203)". Lineage: Eukaryota; Viridiplantae; Streptophyta; Magnoliopsida; Brassicales; Caricaceae. The record is from RNAcentral.
ACAAGGGAUGGUUCUGGAAACGUGGGCUCUGAUACCACCUAUAAUACCCUAAACUCGAUAUGAGGCGCAAUUCUUACUCAUGCCAUUCUCAUGCAAUCGGCCCACAAAAUAUACAUUAUGCAUAGCUAAAAUAUUAUCAUACAACCUAGCAUCCAUAUGAUAUAUACAGUAGUUAUAUAUAUAGAACAUGAGGUUAAAUUUAGAGUUUAACAAAACAAAAUAAAAAUUUCUAGAAUAUGAACAAAAUGUACAUAACCAGGAACCCUUUUGCAGGUUCUACUCAUCU